Molecule: small RNA, 910 nt
Filed under: uncultured Mortierella
Lineage: Eukaryota; Fungi; Mortierellomycota; Mortierellomycetes; Mortierellales; Mortierellaceae
Description: eukaryotic LSU rRNA
Rfam family: Eukaryotic large subunit ribosomal RNA (bases 626-910)
Source: RNAcentral
CUUGGUCAUUUAGAGGAAGUAAAAGUCGUAACAAGGUUUCCGUAGGUGAACCUGCGGAAGGAUCAUUCACAAACGAGUGUUUUAUGGCACUCUUUAAAAAUCCAUAUCCACCUUGUGUGCAAUGUUUGUUGGGAAAGUCUUUUCUUUCCCUUCAUAAAUAUCAACCUAUAUCUUUAACAACAUUCGUCUGAUAACAUAUUAUGAAUAUACUUAAUUCAAAAUAUAACUUUCAACAACGGAUCUCUUGGCUCUCGCAUCGAUGAAGAACGCAGCGAAAUGCGACACGUAAUGUGAAUUGCAGAAUUCAGUGAAUCAUCGAAUCUUUGAACGCAUAUUGCGCUCUUUGGUAUCCCGAAGAGCAUGCUUGUUUGAGUAUCAGUAAACACCUCAACCUCUCUUUUUUGAUAAAAAAAAGGGAGGGUGGACUUGAGCUAUCCCAACGACCUUCACCGGUAGGCGGGCGGCUUGAAAUGCAGGUGCAGCUGGACUUUUAUCUGAGCUAAAAGCAUAUCUAUUUAGUCCUCGUCAAACAGGAUUAUUACUUUUGCUGCAGCUAACAUAAAGGAUAAUUGUCCUCUUUGCUGACUGAUGCAGGAUUUUACGACACUUUAUGUGUUGUUCAACUCGAUCUCAAAUCAAGUAAGACUACCCGCUGAACUUAAGCAUAUCAAUAAGCGGAGGAAAAGAAACUAACAAGGAUUCCCCUAGUAACGGCGAGUGAAGCGGGAUGAGCUCAAAUUUGAAAUCUGGCUGGUUUACUAGUCCGAGUUGUAAUUUAAAGAAGCGUUUUCGGUGGCAGCCUGGGUAUAAAUCCUUUGGAAUAGGGUAUCAUAGAGGGUGAGAAUCCCGUCUUUGACCUAGUGCAUGCUACUAUGUGAUACGUUUUCAAAGAGUCGAGUUGUUUGGGAAU